CCUACGGGAGGCAGCAGUGAGGAAUAUUGGUCAAUGGGCGCGAGCCUGAACCAGCCAAGUAGCGUGAAGGAUGACUGCCCUACGGGUUGUAAACUUCUUGUAUAAAGGAAUAAAGUGAGGCACGUGUGCCGUUUUGUAUGUACGUUAUGAAUAAGGAUCGGCUAACUCCGUGCCAGCAGCCGCGGUAAUACGGAGGAUCCGAGCGUUAUCCGGAUUUAGGGGGUUUACAGGGAGCGUAGAGGGGUUUUUAAGUCAGUUGUGAAAGUUUGCGGCUCAACCGUAAAAUUGUAAUUGAUACUGGCAGUCUUGCGUACAGUUGCGGUAGGCGGACUUCGUGUUGUAGCGG
RNAcentral lists this ribosomal RNA (346 nucleotides) under uncultured bacterium. RNAcentral describes it as "partial 16S ribosomal RNA". It matches the Rfam family "Bacterial small subunit ribosomal RNA", at positions 338 to 681 of the family's 1533-position model. The record is from RNAcentral.